RNAcentral lists this ribosomal RNA (836 nucleotides) under Pseudoalteromonas nigrifaciens. RNAcentral describes it as "bacterial SSU rRNA". It matches the Rfam family "Bacterial small subunit ribosomal RNA", at positions 83 to 922 of the family's 1533-position model. The record is from RNAcentral. Lineage: Bacteria; Pseudomonadati; Pseudomonadota; Gammaproteobacteria; Alteromonadales; Pseudoalteromonadaceae.
CUUUGCUGACGAGCGGCGGACGGGUGAGUAAUGCUUGGGAACAUGCCUUGAGGUGGGGGACAACAGUUGGAAACGACUGCUAAUACCGCAUAAUGUCUACGGACCAAAGGGGGCUUCGGCUCUCGCCUUUAGAUUGGCCCAAGUGGGAUUAGCUAGUUGGUGAGGUAAUGGCUCACCAAGGCGACGAUCCCUAGCUGGUUUGAGAGGAUGAUCAGCCACACUGGGACUGAGACACGGCCCAGACUCCUACGGGAGGCAGCAGUGGGGAAUAUUGCACAAUGGGCGCAAGCCUGAUGCAGCCAUGCCGCGUGUGUGAAGAAGGCCUUCGGGUUGUAAAGCACUUUCAGUCAGGAGGAAAGGUUAGUAGUUAAUACCUGCUAGCUGUGACGUUACUGACAGAAGAAGCACCGGCUAACUCCGUGCCAGCAGCCGCGGUAAUACGGAGGGUGCGAGCGUUAAUCGGAAUUACUGGGCGUAAAGCGUACGCAGGCGGUUUGUUAAGCGAGAUGUGAAAGCCCCGGGCUCAACCUGGGAACUGCAUUUCGAACUGGCAAACUAGAGUGUGAUAGAGGGUGGUAGAAUUUCAGGUGUAGCGGUGAAAUGCGUAGAGAUCUGAAGGAAUACCGAUGGCGAAGGCAGCCACCUGGGUCAACACUGACGCUCAUGUACGAAAGCGUGGGGAGCAAACGGGAUUAGAUACCCCGGUAGUCCACGCCGUAAACGAUGUCUACUAGAAGCUCGGAGCCUCGGUUCUGUUUUUCAAAGCUAACGCAUUAAGUAGACCGCCUGGGGAGUACGGCCGCAAGGUUAAAACUCAAAUGAAUUGACGGGGGCCC